GAACAGGAUGAUGUGGACCUUGGGAGCAAAGAGGCAGCCCAGCACGACCGACCCACUCAGACUGACAGAGAUACACAUGGUGGUGGUUUGUACCUGGAGGAUGAAAAAGAGUCAUGAUGAAGUUACAGAUAUAACACAACAGAGGUCCCCAGCUAGAAUCAAACAGGGCUGAUCCAGCUCAGAAACAAGGAUUUAAAACAACCAAGCAGUGUUAAAUUAACUUCACUCAUAUGGAAUCAUAUAAACACCAGCAAAGUGUUGAGGACCAUUUUGCCGUUCAAUCUCU
Long non-coding RNA from Scomber japonicus (chub mackerel), 286 nucleotides. RefSeq lists it as uncharacterized. The transcript is spliced from 3 exons. NCBI's taxonomy places the organism in Eukaryota, Metazoa, Chordata, Actinopteri, Scombriformes, Scombridae. The record is from RefSeq and is a predicted model, not a curated record.